This 3065-nucleotide long non-coding RNA is filed under the name Paramuricea clavata. Lineage: Eukaryota; Metazoa; Cnidaria; Anthozoa; Malacalcyonacea; Plexauridae. The record is from RNAcentral.
GUACUUUUCCGACAAACCGAAAAAUUUUUCCGACAAACCAAAAAGUUUUCCGGACGACAACAUUUUAAAUCUUCACCCCCCGUCGACAACUUUGACAAUUUCCGACAGCCUUGACAAUUUUCCGACAAUUUCCGGCAGCAUUGGCAAUUUUACGACGGGUGUCAACAAUAGGGGAGGGCCAUGCCCCCCCCCCGGCCACGGCGCCACUGAUGACAAUCACUAGACGUAUGACGUCAUUGACGUACGUCGACGAAUGUUUUCACGAUUUCAUGUUUGUCAACAGAGCCCCCCCCCGGUAAAUUUAGUUCUAUAGCACUGCUGCAAAGCCUUGCAAAGUCUCUAUUGCACUAUUCGUACUAUUCGUCGCCUAUUCGUGGACUAUUCGUACUAUUCGUCGCCUAUUCGUGGACUAUUCGUACUAUUCGUCGACUAUUCGCGGACUAUUCGCACUAUUCGUCGACUAUUCGCGGACUAUUCGCACUAUUCGUCGACUAUUCGUACUAUUCGUCGACUAUUCGCACUAUUCGCUUCACUAUUCUAGUUUUAUCAAUUGCCCCGAGCAGAGUGUGCAUUUUGCUUUUUAAUUAAACUUAAAAAUUCAAGGUACUUUUAUAUAAAUAAGAUUCAGACAAAGAUUUAAUUAGUCAGUUCUGUGCACGGCUUGACUGCCAAGCUUUCUCAAGGUCUCAACUGAGGGUCCUGAAGGGGUAAAAUGGGAACUGGGAUUGAUCUAAUUUUAGACUGGGAAAAUGGGAUUUGGGUUGCUGGGACUGGGAUUUGGCCACUGGGAAUGGGAAAUGAAGACCUCAAAAAUUGGAAUGGGAUUGAGGUAAUGCGAGUCGAUUCCCAAUUUUUCUACAUUUUAAAUGUUUUAAAAUACAAUUUUGAUCCGUUUUCGGUGUCUUUGGUCAUGAUUUUUGUUGUUAAGAGGCGGACCAUUAGAAAAGUGAUGGGGCAUUUUCAACGUGCACGAUUUGUUUUUCAAAAAUUUUUGCUGUGUUUAUUUUUUUAAAUAAUCCUUUGCCUGAUUUUUUUUAAUUUGUUGGCGAGCGGGGGGGGGGGAUGGUGUUGAACAAAAAAGGGUCAAAAAAAAUUUUUUCGGACUGACUAACAUCGUUUUAGUUUGGCGAGCGGGAGGGAGGGGAGGUGAAAAAUUUACACUGUACCUCCGAUAGGCCCUGUAAUUUUCCCUAUUGAAAAGUCUCUGCACGAAUUUUUUUUUCAAACAUUUCUGGUGCACGAUUUUUUUUCUUUCUAUUUUCCCUGCUCGAUUUUUAUUUUUGCUUUUGCCCCAUCACUUUUCUAAUGGUCUAUUAUUCACAGCACUACCUGCGAACAGGCAUACUCUGGCGCCCGGAAUUCUGGGUUUUCUGAUUCUGCGUGUCUCAAUGAUGCAAAUGCCAUUUCCGGGAUUCAAAUUUAAAAAUUUUUUGUGCCUUUGGCACAUGCUCCCCUCCCAAUAUUUCAUAAAGUGUCCACCACUUGCACACACGGUGAAGGUCUUAAAACUGUUUAUUCUACCGAUAAAUAAAGGGUUGUUUAUUGACUGGGAUUUCAAUAACUCCAGACCUGCCAAGUCUCACGAUUUAAUCGUGAGACUCACGAUUUUUUAUGCUUUCUCACGAUCUCACGAUUAAGUCCCCAAAUCUCACGAUUUUCGGAACUUAUGAAAUCAUCGAAGAGCGCAACAUCUAGUUACAAUUAGGCACACUCUUCCAAGGAAACAUCACACUUUAUUAGUGUAUUAAUAAUGCGCAUUGUUAUAUACCUAGCGUGAACACCAAACGUGAUUGGCUGAUUUGUGGUCACGUGACUUCAGAUAAAUGCAAUGUUUCCCGCCGGGCAACAAGUGAAAAAUUAUUGCCCGCCCCGACCGGCCACGUACAUAAAUAAACAAAAUGGAGGCACAACUCAGAUAAUUAGAAACUACGAUUUUCCAAGUUUGUGUUCAAAUAAAGAAUAUAAAAGAGAAGGAAAAUACACAACAGGCAACAGGAUAUGCUGCUGAAACCGUUUAAGCAGGUUCUUUUAAUUUUAAACUCGUUUACACUAUAGAGUUUUCGUCACGAAAUACAAUUGUUGUAUGAAUGUUGUUGAAGUUGAUUUUUGUUCGUCGCUAUAUAACAAAACACUUAAUGCCUGUUCCCUCGGGAAAUAGUUAGUUUUGUUUCCCUCGAAUCUUAAUGUUUCCCUCAACUUCGUCUCGGGAAACAUUGAGAUUCUCGGGAAAACAAAACUAUUUCCCUCGGGAGCAGACAUUAAGUGUAUAAUGGAUCGUGACUAAAACACCACAUUAGUACAUACGAGUAACAUACGAGUAACACGCAGGUACAUACGAGUACAUACGAGUAACAAACGAGUACAUACGAGUAACAUACGAGUACAUACGAGUAACAUACGAGUACAUACGAGUAACACACGAGUACAUACGAGUAAAACACAAGUACAUACGAGUACAUACGAGUAGAAUACGAGUAAAAUACGACUAGUAAACUUGUUUUUAGUGUUUUUAGAUUGAAUACAGGCAAAAAGAUCGUCUUCUCUGUCGAAAAACGUGACAUAGACUGAAACCGGCUAUCUUUAAAACCCGGAACGGGGAAUGGGGGGACGGGGAAUGGGAGAACGGGAAGUGGGGGAACGGGGAACGGAGGGAAUGGAUGGGCGAGGGGGGGAGGGAGGAAAUAGGAGACAGGGGGCGGGGGAGGUCUGCCAGAUUCUAUAAACCACAACUUUGUAGUUUGUACAACAUCUACUUUUAGGUAUUUCACCUAGAUAGUUAGAUACAUGACACAAACCAUAGGCUUCACAUACUUCACGGCAUGGUUUGCUUUCAAAACCCUGUGAGCAUGCACAAAACCUAACUCGCUAAGGGAAAGUGCAUUUAUUACACCUAGGGAGGGGGAUGAAGAUGUCUUGAAAAAAGCUCAUAUUUUUACAGGGCCCCUGUGGAGGUUAUCGGUAAAUUUCGAUGCCCCCCUCCAAGUUUUUAAAAUUUUCAAUGCCCCCCCCCCUCUAGAAUUCGGAAUCGAAGGAGUACAAUCCGGAAUUCUCUCUUAUCAUCGAUA